This 339-nucleotide unclassified non-coding RNA is filed under the name soil metagenome. RNAcentral's name for it is "partial contains 5.8S ribosomal RNA, internal transcribed spacer 2, and large subunit ribosomal RNA". The stretch from base 1 to 120 matches the Rfam family "5.8S ribosomal RNA", at positions 35 to 154 of the family's 154-position model. The record is from RNAcentral.
GAUGAAGAACGCAGCGAAAUGCGAUAACUAAUGUGAAUUGCAGAAUUCAGUGAAUCAUCGAGUCUUUGAACGCACAUUGCGCCCCCUGGUAUUCCGGGGGGCAUGCCUGUCCGAGCGUCAUUGCUGCCCUCAAGCACGGCUUGUGUGUUGGGCUCCGUCCCCCCGGGGACGGGCCCGAAAGGCAGCGGCGGCACCGAGUCCGGUCCUCGAGCGUAUGGGGCUUUGUCACUCGCUCUGUAGGCCCGGCCGGCGCCAGCCGACAACCCAUCAUCCUUUUCAGGUUGACCUCGGAUCAGGUAGGGAUACCCGCUGAACUUAAGCAUAUCAAUAAGCGGAGGA